Long non-coding RNA from Gossypium arboreum, 543 nucleotides. RefSeq lists it as uncharacterized. The transcript is spliced from 2 exons. Lineage: Eukaryota; Viridiplantae; Streptophyta; Magnoliopsida; Malvales; Malvaceae. The record is from RefSeq and is a predicted model, not a curated record.
AAACCUAAUUUUUUAAAAAAAAAAGUUUAAAAACCCUCUGAAAGAGGGGAGAGGAGAGGUCCUCUGGGCUCUGGCCUCCGCAGGCCACGUUCCGGUCAUCAGUCCUACACGCGCCUACACGCCAUUGUACACGGUGGUUUGAGGGUCUAAAACCUUCGUCCUUCCACAGGUGACCGCGAGGAUCUCGGUGGUUCAAGGGCUGCUGGCGUUGAUGGAGGCCUGAAGUCUGGUGGUGAUGAUUCGUGGUGACUGUGAGGCGCUGAUUACGGAGGCAGAGCCUUGAAUGGUGGCCUCGAUUUGGGAGCUGGACAGACGCUCCCUGAACCUUCUAGAAUUAGUGGCGGCUCGAGGAGAAAGAAGGCAGAAACCCUAAGGUUUCCUGCCUUGGUGUAAUGUUUUGGGCCAGUUGGGUCACUUUAGUCCUGGGUCUGUCUAGUUUAAGUUAGGCUACGGGUGUAUUAGGGUACACAGGUAGUCUAGGCUAUUGGGUUGUAGCCGGUCUGUUUGGGUAUAACGGGUCGAAGGUAUUUGGGCCUAUGUUUG